Long non-coding RNA from Eptesicus fuscus (big brown bat), 394 nucleotides. RefSeq lists it as uncharacterized. The record is from RefSeq and is a predicted model, not a curated record. NCBI's taxonomy places the organism in Eukaryota, Metazoa, Chordata, Mammalia, Chiroptera, Vespertilionidae. The transcript is spliced from 3 exons.
GUCCUUUUCAAGCACAGGCUGUGGAGCCAGAGUCAACGGUGUAAAAUAUAAUCAAAAAUGAACCUAAGACAUUCAUCCUACACAGAAAUGGCUGCUGGCUGAGUGACCCAAUGCUACACUGAUGGAGACAUACAGACUGCGGCCAGGGUCUAAAUCUCCUAUUUCCAAAAUCAUCUCAAGGGCUUAAAGUGCAUGUUCCCAGGAAAAGAGAGAAGAAAAGAUAUAACAGGAGAAUGACAAAGAAUGUCAAUGGCCUCAGCUAUUAGAACCUCAGCCUGAUUCAGUUAUCCACUUGUGGCAGUAAAGGCAAAUGACCUUUGAAAAAUGCUGAUAUUCUUCUGAUUUUUCUCCGGAUCUAAAUAUAACAUCUGGGAACAUGAAAUUAAAAAUUUAC